This is a long non-coding RNA of Pipra filicauda (Wire-tailed manakin), 1826 nucleotides long. RefSeq lists it as uncharacterized. Lineage: Eukaryota; Metazoa; Chordata; Aves; Passeriformes; Pipridae. The transcript is spliced from 2 exons. The record is from RefSeq and is a predicted model, not a curated record.
CCGCCGGCUCAGACCGGUUCUGAGCACAAACAACCGCCCCCCGCCCGCGGGGACACCGCGGCGAGAAACACCCGCUUUUCCCCAAAAAACAGACUUUCCCCCUCAGAAACACCCGCUUUCCCCCAAAAUAACACUCGCUUUUCCCCAAAAAACACCCGUUCCCCCACCCCCCGCCCAAACACCCGCUUUCUCGGGGAAAAGGGAGUGGUUUUUGGGGGAAACACACGUUUCCCCCCCCCCCCAAACACCCUCUUUUCUCUCAGAAACACCCGCUUUCCCCCCCAAAACACCCGCUUUCCCCCAAAAAAACACCCGCUUUUCUCCCCCGAAACCCCCGCUGCUCUUCCCUCAAAACCACAGCGUUUUGCCCUCAAAAUCACUCGCUUUGCCCCAAAGAACACCGUCUUUCCCCAAAAACAGCGGCGCGAGGCGGCCCGCGCCCCCCCGGCCGCGCCGCCAUUACAGCGCCGGCCGCGCUCCGCCGGCCGUGAGGCGAGAGAAAGCGGCGGGGUUUCUGAGCGAGAUAAAAAUCUUAUUAUGCAACGCACAUUUUUAAUAGAUUAGUGCCGAGUCCAGGGGUGAGGUAAUGCGGGCUGUCGGCAGCUGGGGCGGAGGCUGAGGGACGGGCGGGUUGUGCUGGUCCCUCCCAAGGGCACCGAGGCACCAUUUCCUCACCGCCCGUGAGGAGAUCUCUGAUAUAUCGCAUUUUUUUCUACGGGAGGAUCUAUUUAUGUGGUUACACAUGUGCGGGUACGUCUUUUUCGCCAGAUCUCAUGUAUAAAGGUUUGCUUUCUGUAUUCUAGUCUCCAGAGCCAUCUGAAAACGUUCUGCCUGUGCUCAAUCUCAAGAAACUCGAUACAGUCCCAAGGGUAAAAAAACCACAUUUAAAGGAUGGUCUCGGUUAUAUUUAGCUGAGCAGCAGCACAGGCUGAGACGAGCAGAAACACAAGGAAGAACAAAGUGGAAACGCUCGACAGUUGGUAACAAAAACCUGCGAGUAUCUGAGGUGGAUUUUUUUUUAAUUUUCCUUUCCCUAAUUCACAUUUCGCCGUGCACAGAGAACAUCAAAGCAGCACAUGGGUUUAUGUGAACAAAAGGAGCGUGCUCAACCCUGUCGUUCUAACCAGAAGACAUGAAAAAUAUGCAGCUCAUCUCUACAGCGCAAAAUUUAUGUGGAAUUACUGAACCUCGACAAAAGCCAUCUCACAAAUUCUUCAAUAAAGACUAAACAGCUACAUUUAACCUCAUUUUUCCCGAUUUUUCAUCUCUUCUCAGUACAGGCAUCUCCAAACCCUCUCAAAAUCCCAAAUCCCAGCUAAGUCAGUGAUUCAUCACUUCUGGCAGCAACGAAGCGGGAAGGAGGAGAUGAAGACAAUGGUAGGGAAAGGUCUGCAUUAUGUAAUGAAACUAAACUCACUUUUUUCUACUUUCACUUCAGUUGUUGACGCGGGGUAAGAAAGUCCCAUACAAAAUAAAAUACACGGGAGGUUUCAGGGAGCCUGUUUUUCCCAUGAUUAAAAUUCUCUUGGCAGUAUUUUCCAUCAGUUUAUUUCAAUAUUAAGACACACACGUAUUCCAUUCCAACUGUAACUCCUUGCUCCAGAAAGAAUUUCAUCUAAGAGAAAUCUAAAAUUAAAACCAAUCUCUAAUUACCUUAUGCCUUGCCCACUUGUCAUGAGAACUUUAAGUACAGCUAUUAGAAUUACUAAAAAAAUUCAAUUUUCAAACAUCUAUACAUGCAACUGCUUCCCACUGCCUGAUUUCAGCAGGGCUGGAAUGACUGUGCUCACCUAGAUCUUGGUGAAAAUAAAAUCAGUUUUGUGUCU